AAGUCGUAACAAGGUUUCCGUAGGUGAACCUGCGGAAGGAUCAUUAACACGUAUCCAAACGUUAAAACCCCCCCCGUGAACCUUCAUCCUGCUCUUGUAACCCGCGUAGUUCGCAAUCUCUGAUAAAUCAUAGCCCGGAAAGUUGUAGUGAUUCAGAGACCUCUGGCUACGUGCGAACAUUGGAACAGUUACAAUCGAGCGGUAGUUCUAUAGGCAAUGUUUCCCCAAGCAGUCAGUGUCGGAAAGUGUCAUUGAUUGUGCAAGGAUAGCGAUUCCUGUAGACCGUACACUCAAGUUUAAUGUGAAGCUCAAUGUAAUACAUUGGGUAAAAAACAGAACACCUGUUAACAAUGGAUAUCUUGGUUCUC
This 368-nucleotide unclassified non-coding RNA is filed under the name fungal sp. RNAcentral's name for it is "partial internal transcribed spacer region". The stretch from base 1 to 46 matches the Rfam family "Eukaryotic small subunit ribosomal RNA", at positions 1786 to 1831 of the family's 1831-position model. The record is from RNAcentral. Lineage: Eukaryota; Fungi.